CUAUUCCCCGAGGGCUGUGUGGGGCACCAUGACUGUGAGAGGCGAGGGCGGCGAAAGGCUGUGGCCCAGUUUGUGUCCAAUCAGCGGCCUGAUUGGCGUGCACCGAGCAGGGCAGCAAUGCGUAAACAACCAGCCCUGGGAAAGUCCUCCGCCUCCUGCACCGCUCCGCUCUUCGAGCCUUCCUUCUCGCUAGACUCGCCACCGCCUCCUCCUUCUGCCCCCUCCCUUCUCUCAUCCCCCCCCCCCCUUGUCAGCUGAACAGCAGCUGAAAACGCACCUCGCUCUUCCUUGCAACAUAACCUAACUCCCGCGCCGCGUCCCCGGGGCGCUCCCUCUGGGCUGUUUGCGGGAAGGGCUGGAAGAUGUCUAACUCUAAAAAGAAGGAGAGGUUGGGAGUCAUCACCCUCUGAGAGGCCCUGCAUCCCCAUCCUCCAAUGCCUGGAGAAGUCCGGCUGCAUAUAGCAGCUCACCAGCUCCUGUGAUCCUGUCUUGCUUGCCUUGCACAUUUCACAGCUUGGGUCCCAAACAUUUUCCUCUGCUGCAGCUCCUGCCACGAAUGGCUACCCAGAGGAAGCAUUUUGUGAAAGAUUUCAACCCCUAUAUCACCUGUUGUAUUUGCAAAGGAUACCUUAUCAAACCUACUACAGUAACUGAGUGUCUCCAUACUUUUUGUAAGAGUUGCAUUGUACAGCACUUUGAAGACAGCAACGACUGUCCCAAAUGUGGCAAUCAAGUGCACGAGACCAAUCCUUUAGAAAUGUUACGGCUGGACAAUACAUUAGAGGAAAUUAUAUUUAAGUUGGUACCAGGACUUCGAGAACAAGAACUGCAGCUCGAGUCUGAAUUCUGGAGGAAAAACAAACCUCAAGAAAACGGAGGAGAAGGAAAUCCAAAAUCUGAAAAUCCCAAUGAUGAUGGAGAUAGAGAUGAAAAUCAAGAUGAUAAGGACUAUCACAGGAGUGACCCUCAGAUUGCUAUCUGUUUGGAUUGCUUACGCAACAAUGGACAAUCUGGAGAUAAUGUAGUAAAAGGAUUGAUGAAGAAAUUCAUCCGGUGUUCUACACGAGUGACCGUUGGAACUAUCAAGAAGUUUCUAAGCUUAAAAUUAAAGCUUCCAAGUUCUUAUGAGAUGUACUAUGCAAUGGGGAAAUCAUGGGUAAGGAUCACACUAUGGAAUUCAUCUAUAUGACGAGAUGGAGACUACGAGGCGAUAAUUUUCGGUGUCAGAACUGCUCAUCUUCGCAAGUCUGCUCACAGGAUGGCUCUGUUUAUCAGUCUUACCCCAUGGUUCUGCAGUAUCGACCCAGAAUUGACUUCGGUUAGACCAAAGGGCCAGAUCCCACUGAGAUUAAUCCUGCACUAUGUUUACCCAUCGACAGAUUGCACAAUGAAUGGAUUUGCCUGGACUGGGGGGGACACAACCAGAAUUUCGGCAUGUAAAUAUGGACUUCUUAUUCGGUUGAUCAACUGCAUCUUUCUUUCCCCCUCCCCACCUCAAUUAGAGUAAGCCAAGUGCCAUUCUGCUACUGAAACAUCCAUAAGAUAUUUGUGGUAUCGAAGUCUACUAGGAAAAUUGUUCAAUGUAUAGUUAAGACUCAGAAUCUCUGGAAUAGUUUGCUCUGCCUGUUAGAAAUUUUCCCUGGUCAGUAAUGUUGAUAACAUUAACCAAGACGGCCAUGCAGUCUUUCACAUGUGGUGUUCCAGUUUUUUCACAUUUACUAUUUUACUGAAUAACGUUGUUUAAAAGAAGUACUGUACAAAAGGUUAAAGACUAUAACUUUGGAAAUAUUUUGUAUAUAAUAUAUGUUUAAAAAUGUGGUUAUGUUGCCACUACCUUCUUUUUUUUCUUGUUCAGUUUCUCAUAGAUCCAGGUAUAGCUCACUAAUUAGUGUGCACCAGUCUUUUUGAAGCAUCUAAAAAUUAGACUUUUUGUCAGAGAAAUGAAACACAAUUAUUCCUGAACUGAAAGUGUGUGCUGAAGCACUCAGAUAAAGUCUCAUAACCUCCUUUCACUAGAGUAUAAAACUUACCUAGAGUUUUGAAUUUGAGGAGUAGCAAAUCAGCACACAUGCGGCAGGUAAAAUUAUUUGUCUUUUUAAAAAAUCCAUUGCAUAACAUUUUUUAAAAAAUAUAUGCCUUGGGGAUAAAAAGGAAUUAUUAUAUAAACGUACUCUAAAAAGUAUGCGUUGGGUGUCUUUGAAACCUGUCCUUUCAAACUUCCUCUAAAAUUUGUUUUGCUCUAGUGAUGAUCCCGCAAAAAGGAAGACUGAAAUCAGCGUUCUCAAUGAAUUGGGACCACUGUGCUAAUCUUGUGUCAACCUACUCGUCAUAUGCCGAUAACCAUAUUCUGUGGUUAUUUGGAAUAUGGAAACUGUUGGACAGUUGGUUACCACAUCCGAAACUGAAAUAUGGCAGACAAAGCUUUCUGACCAAAAUUACUUAUUGGCUAUUUAGGGGAGAAGUGGAUAAUGCCAAAAUGUUGAUGAUUGCCUUAGUUAUCGCACAUGCAUUCUAUUCAUUUGUAAAUGCUGUGUUGUGGGUUUGGACAUCAUUACACAAUUCCUUCAGCAUAAAUUACGCACUAUGAAUAAUAGUGGAAUAAUUAAUUUCAGAAAAACAGUAAUAGAAUGAUACUAAAAAUCUGGCUUGUUAAGCACAGAAAGGGGUUAGACCAUGAAAGGUUUCUGGCCAUUAUUUCUAAAGGAAUAUUGUGUGCCUUCCAAGACCAAAUCAAGAUAUGCUUCUCAGCACCCACAUAAGAGGCAGAGGCAUCAAUAAAAGGGAUCAAUAGCAACCCUCCCGCCACACUGUGUUUGAACCCCCUCUGUGAACAGUGCCUGCUUCCCUCACCUGUAGUGACUGGUCCUGUCAGAAUUGGUAGUAUUAAUUGCAUGUUGGAUCUUAUUGGCUCUGCUGGAGUAUCAUGACUGUAUCCACCUGUGUUCUUCCCACUCCAGCAUCCUUUAUGCAUUUGGUUUGACCUAAAUAGCUGCUUGGGUUCAUGAGGAAACUCGUGGCUGCUCAGUUUUAGCAUUGUCUGUUUGAACUAUUGACCCUUUCUCUGGUCCCAUACCAUAUCAAAAAUUGUUUGAAAAUUUGCUUCAUUUUAAAAUUAGUUUGUUAUAUAACAUCUGUUGUUCAUGAAGAAUAUGUCCAGAGCACCUCUGGGUUCAUGGAAUUAGUUCUUGGAUUCCUAGAUAAAUGCAACAGGCAUUAGACCUAAUUGGUCAUAAACGAACUUCAGACAUUAACUGGGAAACCUAAAGUGGUUUAAAAGAGAUAUGUGUCUCUUUCUAUAGUUCUGCCUUUCAAGAAGCAUCUUCUGUAUCUCCUCAUGCUAGGGUAGGAGUCAGAGACGCUUGAACUCAGUACAUAUCUAGAAUUUGUACAUCUUGCCAUAGGAACAAGGUGCCCCUUUUGAGGAUCCAGAAGCACGGAAAGGGACGCAAAAGACCACUAGUUUGCAGUUUUUCUGUAGAAGGUUGUAAUUACAAGCUAGUAAUUCAUGAUGAAUUUUUUGGCAUUUCUAGGGUUGCCAGUUCCCCCCCCCCCAAUUGCGGGUGGAGUAUCCCCCGCCUUCUGCUGUCCUUUCUAGCUGCUACUUCAGAUGGUGAUGGGAGACAGCAAAAAGGCCAUUGAGCUAACAGCAUGAUGUCACUUCCCUGGAAGCAACAUCAGUCCUUCCUAGAAAUUUCCCUCUGGUGAUUCCUGGAGGGAUGUGAUGUCACUAGGAGAGGAGGGGAAUUAAAAUCAUGUCAAACCAUCGCUGAUGCACAGGGACAGGCAUGCCCACACACACAGUCUCUUGCUGGUUGCCAGACUGUGCAUAUUGAAUGUUUGGCCAUUGACUUUAGUAAAAAUGGUGCCAGUCCUUGAAGUCUGUACCAUAUACCAUCUAUUUGUUAGUACUGGGACUAACUUUUGUACUGGUUAUAAAUGCUCUUUUACUAUCAGCAAAUAUGAAUCUUUUAUGUUCUGUUACCACUGCUCUGCCAUUUUAAACAUUGUACAGGCAUAAAAACUAUCUGAAUUUUGUUCAGAUGAAGUAUAUACUACUUCCACAUUAUAUCUGAACUAUAUUACGGUUUCCUUUGUUGGCUCAUGAUGCAUGUUUCAAAACUUCAUGCCAGUUGACCAAAAUGCAUCUUCAGACUUUAUAUUUAUUUUUAUGUUGUAUUUGCUUUUAGUGGAUUUGGAGAAGGUAUUUUCAAGCCCAAUAAUAACAGCUCAUGUUUCCUAUAUAAGAAGAAAUUUUGCUUUUUUACUGUAAAGAAAUGCAAGUAUUUGGGGUUUGGAUCCAAAGACUUUCUUCACAAGCUCAGUAAGCCCACAGAUUUUGCAGGCUGAGAAUUAAUGUAGGUUUAAUUUUGUAAAACUUUAUUUGAGAGCAAGUAUCUUUCCACAUGAAUAAUGGACAACCAUGUUAUGUGUGAAACUUGAAGUCUUUAAAUUUCCCUUGCUCAUGUAACCUUGUAGCUAUACCUUGGAAUUACUGGUGCUUCAUAGUUACCACUGUACAUUUGGCUGAAUAAUUGUCCAAAGGCCAGCCAACUACAGGUGUCUGCUGCAGAACUUAAUAUUUCAGUGAAGCAUUCUACUCAUUUAUUCUUUGACCUUUCCUAAAAAUGCAUGGGUACCCAAAAUAAAUUCAAGAUUAAUUCGUGAUUAGUAGAACCAAUGCAAUCUUUUGGUGCCAAAGAAAGAUUAUGUAACUAAAAAUACAAGUAUUCCACCCAAGCUGCUGAGUGUAUCUGGAGAUUUUUCAUGCAAGCACUAAAACAAAGUUCAGUUGGGGACAAAAAAAUUCCAUAUCUGACAACAGUACUGGCUGGCUGUUGUGACUCACUUUCUGCACACGCUACAUUUCUUUUUCCCUUCUUUGAAAGAUGAUUAUUCCAUGCAUGUAUAGAUAUUUUCUAUAUUGGGCCAAAAUACAAGUGACAGAGGCCACAAGUCCAUCCUGUGGCCAUUGAUGUCAUUUUAAAAACAUUGGUAGUUCUUUGAAAAUGGCUGCAAGAUCCUAGUCCACAUUUCAAGUGUAGAAACAGCCACAGCAAACUGGGCUGUGCUUGCAAAUGCAUCUGAGCGGGGAGGACAAGAGCUCUUGGGGCCCCAGUGCAUUCAAACUGGACUGGGGCUUCCCACCAAUUUUUAAAGAACCACAGAUUUUUUCAAAUGGCACCUGCGGCCACAGGUUGGGCCCAUGAAACCACUGCAGGUCCAGUCCAGAGAUCUGCAAGGCCACUGUGCUGGCAGCAAAAUACUGCCUAGUGCCCAAGCUUAGGGCACACAGGUAUCCAUAAAAAAUAUGGCAUUGGGUUACAUAAGUUAAUUUUGUUCCCUGAUUGAGGCAUUUACAUUUUACUUAGAUACUACAAAGUUAAAUCUAUCUCUCUUACACAAACACCGAGGUGGUGCCAUCUCUUUGCUUCCACUAAUGGAAUCUAGACUGACUAAUAAUAUACUUGCAACAUAGGUCUUGUGCCAAAUGAUUUGCUUAUUUUGGGGAGUGGUGUCCAUUCUCAAACGCCUACAAUAUAGUUCAGUUAGGUUACCAAAAUUCUGAUAGUGCUGAAGUAUUCAGCUGUAAAAAGCCCGUUCCUGCAAACCCAUGUAUUCAAAUUAUUUAUCCAAAAGGUGUUCCAAAAAUGUUUAGGAAGGGUUAUUUUUUAGGAACUGUUGUUUGUGCUGCCUCAGGACAAUUAAACAAAAAAAUAGUUCCAUGCCUAUUGCGACUCUUGCCAAAGAAAAGUAUUGGACUGAAUUUGCAGGGUGACAUAAUUUUCCACUGUGUUUUUUUUUUCUAGCAGUAUCUUUUAUGUAUGGUUUUCGGAGUACAGAGUAUGUGACAAGAAUAAAAUUGAGACCGGAGGAGAAGAGCAAAAACAGUUUGUGCAUAUUUCUUCAAGGAAUGUGUGAUAGACAAGAUUAGUAAUUUGAGUCUGAGGGGCCCCAGACAGGAAAUAUUGUUUUGUUUGCCCAGUGGUACUUUAAAAAAAAAUUAUAUGAACUUGCUUUCUAGAGAAGUAAGUUUUGUGGGGGAGGGGUUUCUAGGAAUGGAUUUUUUUUCCUGGAAUGGUGCCUGACGUCAAAGUUGAUUAUCAUUGUGGAUGCUGGAUUGUGCCUGAAGCAUUUUGUGCAGCUUUAGAAUUAGUCCUGCACACUUUUGGGGGUUUAAAAUAAAAUAUUGAAGAGUUUACAUGAUUUAAAAUGAAAAGUCGCACUAGUUGCCUCCCAAUCAAUGAGCAUCAUAACAAUGAGGGGUCUCAUUGAUGACAAUUUAUGGAGAAAUACAAAGGCCUUUAUUUUCAGUUCUCUGCUUUUGUUAUCAGUGUUUGGUUAUACCUGGCCUGUGAACCAAAAAUUCAGUGUGCUGUUGAUCUUGCAAAAUCUGCAAAGCACAUCAUACUGAACAAAUGAAUUUCUGACUUUUAAAAUAGCAGCAGGGCUUAAUUGCAUUAUAUUUUGAAGUCUGGGAAUACAAGUUUAGAGAUUCAAAGCAAGGUAAUCGCUUUCAUUUUUACAGAAUUUAUUGUUCAGGGGGAUUUUUAAAGGCAAAAAUGCACUGCUUUCGGUACUGUCUCCCCAACACUGUGCGAUGCAAUGCAUAUAUAAUGCAGUGCAUUUGAUUAAUCUUUUCCAGAGCAGUUCUUAAUGUUAAAAGAUAUCUGCAAAGGCUGGAUGUUAAAUUCUGCCUCUGAAACUGGCAGUAAAUCUAUGCUGCUGUUCUCUAAAGUUACAAACAAAGCAUAGACUACCACUACAAGUCGGCCGUUACAAAGAGAUACUGUGCUGCAUUUUUUAAUAUACACAUAUAUACUAGGGUAAAUGGUAACAAGAGGGGCAAGGAUUUAAUUCCUGUGCCUACUAAGUUGGGAAUAAGUAACCCCCAGGGUUCCCAGUGACUUGACUCUGAGAAAAUAUGCAUAGGCUUGGGCUGUAAGUGUCCUUAUAUCAGGUAUGAUCCAAGUAACGACAUGAAGGAGCUGGUUGACCUGAGCGGUAGUGCUUCUAUACUUGCUUUUGUCUGGUUUGAUGGUUAUGAGUGCAUUACCACAGUCGCUCUUGCAAUACGUAGAGACCUUAAUACAUACUACUUUGUUGCUGAUUUUCUUUUUAAUGUAUGAAAUAUUUCGAGAGGGGUUUUUUGUCAAAAGUGAGAACAUCUUUUAACAAACCCUUUUGUGGUUGUAAAAUUCAGCUUAUGAAUCAUUCAAAUUGAAGUGAAAAAAAAUCUUUCCAGGUCAUUGGUUUAAUGACAGUCUGUCCUACUUAUUAAGAAUAUAUGUAUUUUUGUAAAAGAAAUGCAGUUGUAAAUAUUGAAACUGUCUUGUUACCUGGGUGUUUGUUUUUUGGAACAAAAAUGCUGCUGCUUAAGAGGAUCACCUACUUCUUUUGAGGUUUUGUGCUCAAAUGGAUUUUCUUUGGAUUUGUGGCAUGUUUCUUCUGUACUUAGCUGAAUUGUUACAACUGGGCUAAAUGCAUUUUAUAUCUAGGCCAUUACAGCCUCUCAUUAAAUCUGUCUGAAGGCACACUUUAUAAUGGUGCUUUUUCCAUCUUUGAUAUUAUCCCCCUUGUGCUCUGCAACAUUCCUAGUUUGUUGUUGCUGUUGUAUUAUUUAAAAAUUCUGAUUUUAUUAUGAAGGUCACAUUCCAGCUUGAUGUGUCAGUGAGUACUUAUUUUCCAUUUGCAACUGCUGAUAAGGUUGCCAACUUUUUUUUUGUAAUAGUGGCUCUUUGGGUGGGGCCAGAAGGCAGAGCCAGGGUGGACAAAGGCAAGGAAGGAUCUGGUGGCUCAUCUGUGAAACUUGGAGGAUUUUUACAGGACAGGAAAAGAACCAAGAUAGACUCCGACCCCUUCCGCACAUGCAGAAUAAUGCACUUUCAAUCCACUUUCACAAUUGAUUGCAAGUGGAUUUUGCUAUUCCACACAGUAAAAUCCAGCUGCAAAGUGGAUUGAAAAUGCAUUAUUCUGCAUGUGCGGAAGGGGCCUUGGAGAAGCAGGAGGUGGAGAAUUACUGGUGGAGCCUGGCAGACUCUGCAGUUUAUUGGUCUGUAAUGUCUGUCCAGUAAGACAAGAUAUUCAGCACAGAUUACAAUACUGAGAAGCGGACAUAUAGGCUUUGGAAAUCCCCGUAGGUGGAGAGGAGAGAGGUAGAAUGUAGUUAGGAGAGGGAACUGACCAAAGCUGUAAUUCAUUCCAGAACUUUUGUUUUUCCUCAGCUGCAUAGCCAUAGAGCCUGCCCUCCAAAGCUACCAUUUCCUUUGUUUAGAGGCUUGUAGCUCUACUGACAGAAAAUACUUUUACUGAUUGGACCAGUCAGAUACUGAAUGCUUGUGAGCCAUGAUUAUAAAACACGGUUUAUUCUUAUAUCCAGUUAAUGUGGAUGUAAGUGAAAUGAAAAGAAAACCCCCACAAAAGAAAAUUCAGAUACAUUUUUUUCCCAGAGCAGGGAGGGGUGGUAUACCUGGUGCAGCAUUUAUGAAAAGCUGUUCCCUAGGAAACUGCUGUUAGAACAUACAAGGUUUCAACUGCAAUUCAUGAAUGACUAAUUCAAAGAGGUGUUUUCAGCAGCCCUCUUUAAAGACUUUGGUGGUGUGGGGGAGCAGCUUCUAAAACUAGAACUAGUCACAGAAAUGUGUGCAGGGGCUGAACCUUAGUUCCUUUUCACCUUUCUUUAUGAGACAGCCAUUAGCAACUAAAUGCUUAGCAGAAAUGCCUCAGAAUUUAAUCAAAUGUCACAUUCCGAUAUUAUUCCUAACUUCUGUAUCUCUAUAAGGAUAUGCCCCAUCUUUUCAGCAGACCUACCAGAGUGACCCAAGUUUCCCAUCUUCUGUGUUUUGAAUAUUUUUGUCUGAUACCUAGCACUUGUUAUUAAUCUCUGUGUCCAUAUUUUCUAUUGGCAAUGAAUUAUACCAAAGUCUGUUUUUGGAUCUCAUAUCAAAUUGUUUUCCUUGAACUGAGUUUCAGCCCUCAGACAAAUAGUGGAAGGCUCUUACCAUAGUGGCUAAUAUAACAUAAAGUGGGGUACAGAUAUUGAGUUUACUUUGGGGCUAGCGCAUGCAUUUUAAACUUUAAUUCAUAUUCAAAGGCAACUCCUACCAUUGAGAUUCAUAGUAUCACAUGAAAAUGGUAUAAAUUGUUCACUGAAGUAUAAUAUACAUUCUUGAAAGCCAAUCUGUAACGUGCGCUAGACCCCCAAAAACGUUGUACUAGUCUACCCACUCACUCUUAACCUUUUUUAGUAAUUUGCAUCAUAAAGGACAAAGAACAAAGUGUCGUCCAGUUUGUUCUUUCAUAGUUGUCUGGAAGAGAUUCAUAGUUGUCACGGGCAAUCACAUGAGAGCCCAUUUACCAGCCAGUUAAUAUAUGUCACUUUUAAUCUAUUUUAAGUACAUACUAUGAGUGUGCUUCAAACUCUUUCAGUGCUAAUAUCAAGGAUGUCCAGAGGCACCAUUGUUAGUUGCUGGAAAAAUUCACACCCCAUAUAUGGUCCAUAUGCUGCAAUAUGCUUCCAGCCCAGUUGCAUAAAACCCAAGAAAAUCAAGUUGGGCAAGUUGUACAAUGACUCUGCUUGUUAGCACUGAACUGCUCUUUUCUGAAAGCAAUAAAUAUAUUCAUGUUGUAACAUCUGUUGUUCAGCAUACAAUACAGGGCAUUUUGUUGCAGUUUUGUUAUCUAUAUAAUUUAUUUUGUGCUAUAAAAAGAAUUCUUCGGUCUAUCUGAAAA
RNA transcript from Sphaerodactylus townsendi, 9729 nucleotides. It is a transcript of the gene named polycomb group ring finger 5, with no coding region annotated. NCBI's taxonomy places the organism in Eukaryota, Metazoa, Chordata, Lepidosauria, Squamata, Sphaerodactylidae. The record is from RefSeq and is a predicted model, not a curated record. The transcript is spliced from 10 exons.